ACACCGAGGUGGCAAGCGUUGUUCGGAAUUAUUGGGCGUAAAGAGCACGUAGGUGGAUUUGUUAGUCAGAUGUGAAAGCCUUUCGUUCAACGGAAGAAUUGCAUCUGAAACUACAAACCUUGAGUAUAGGAGGGGAGAGUGGAACUUCUGGUGGAGCGGUGAAAUGCGUAGAUAUCAGAAGGAACGCCGGCGGCGAAAGCGACUCUCUGGCCUAUAACUGACACUGAGUGUGCGAAAGCUAGGGGAGCAAACGGGAUUAGAUACCCCUGUAGUCC
This 275-nucleotide ribosomal RNA is filed under the name uncultured bacterium. RNAcentral describes it as "partial 16S ribosomal RNA". It matches the Rfam family "Bacterial small subunit ribosomal RNA", at positions 523 to 796 of the family's 1533-position model. The record is from RNAcentral.